Molecule: long non-coding RNA, 2003 nt
Organism: Cylas formicarius (sweet potato weevil)
Lineage: Eukaryota; Metazoa; Arthropoda; Insecta; Coleoptera; Brentidae
Exons: 4
Source: RefSeq, a predicted model, not a curated record
CACCUCUUCUAUGAAAUCAAUAUACGUAGUCCCCCUUCUAGUCGCUAGGUGGCACCACAGCUUUAAAGCAGAGCCAAAAAACUGUGGAAUAACUUACCAUGGACGGUAUAUUCGCCAUCUAUGGUCUUAACCUCAUUCCUCUUUUUGUGCUUUGGUGGCACAUGUUCAUUUUUAUUCGGCGUCGGUGUUUUCAGCUUUUUUCAGCGUUUUUGGAAGUUAAAUGGAGAAGUACAAGUGAGAUUUACGUUAUUCCUUAUCGGAUGAAGAAAGAACCUACCUACGACGAAAGAUUAAAUCUUUCCAUCCGCGAUUACAUAAUCGCUAGUGGCGUGGUUCCCAUCAACGAGAUUUUCUUACAAUUGGGAGACGAUUUCUUCAUCGUCCGGGUUCCGAUCGGAAUCCCCAGAACUCGAAAGACCCCCCAUAUUUCCCACUUAUACGACAGCAGUCGUAUGUAAGUGUUUCACAAUUGGAAGCAAUCCUUUUGUGAGGGGGUCGGCCAUACAUAUGGUUUUAUAUUUUUUCGACAUCGAAAAAAUAGAGUUUUCUGGCUCGUCCGGCUAUGGAUGAGGCGCCCGGGAUACUGGGACAUAAUGAACAAUUUUUUAUGGCUGUUGGAAUGCAUUUACUCCAUCGUAAGUAUAUUUUUUAGGCCCUUCAAUUAAUUCUGAUGUCAUUGUUGAGCCCCUUGAGACGGAUUUAAAGCAAAAUGGCCUUUAAGCUAUGGGGUCGAUAGUCCCAACACAAAGUUUGAUGUGUCAUGACAUUUUGGCAAGUCAGAUUAAUACCUUUUUGAAAUCCGGUGUGUCCGAAGAUUGUCUCAGUGACCUUUUGCGUUGAUAUCCUGUGCCGAAGAAUUGCCGCUCAAUAACUCUCCUAAAUUGAAUGUGCAGAUGAAAUCUGCCAUCAACAAAGGUGGAAAGAAAAGGGAUGAGAGACUGACUGCAACAAGGGGUGCUUUGAUGGUGGUUGGUAGGACGCUCUUGACCUUGCUUUUGAAACCGGUUAAGGAUGAGUAGUACUUACUUCUCAUCGAAAUGUUGAGUAAUGCAAUAUUUGUUUUAAGCAAAAUACACCAUUUAGGUUCAGUAUAUAGAAGUUCAGCCGCGUUAAGCCUUUCGCUGCAUGUAUGAAGGAAGUGCUCGUUGAUGCUUCUUUGCACUCUUGUUUAUAUGGAGAAGAUUUGGCUGAUAGGCUCAAAUCAAUCAGAUUAGCUGCAGAUUAGUGGCCGAGUUAAAGUCAGGUGCAUCCGGAACAAGGCUUUUAUAGCAUACAAAUUUAAACUCGACCGUCCCACUUCGUUCCCGGAAGUUGCAAGGCUGAAGUGGGUGAAAGUCAUUGUACCCUCAAAAGAGGGAAUACAGGAAGGUUCGAGAGGAAAGGGGGUGGAGUUGUGUCCCCAGGAAAAAAUAAACUCAAGAUGCACAGAUUCUACCUUGGUUAGAUGGAUAUAAAAUUCCAUUUGCGAGGCCAGUUAUACAGGACUUGAUUACGACAGAUCCUGUUUGGUCCCAACAAGAAAAAGAUUCAAUUUGUAAUGUGGUCAAACACCUGUUAGAGAUAAGUGCAAUUGCAGUUUGCGAACCUUAUCCGGAGGCAUCUAAUGAAGACUCGUUUACUGUUUUUUGGAGCGACAGUUUCUUCUAUGUUUUCCCCCCGUUUUGCUUGUUGCCACUUGUUUUACGAAAAAUCAAGGCUGAUUGAGCUACAGGGAUCGCAGUAAUCCCUUACGGGCACAGCCAGCAUUGACAAAUUACCUUCUUCUUUUGACAGGAGAGGUCACCCUUUGUGGAAAUCCCUUACCCUGGCUGCAGGGAUUUUGUCAGGCAAGCAUUCCAGAAGAUUUGCUGGAUAUUUUUCUAUCAUCUGUUCAGAGCGCUACCUUGAGGCAUUUAAUACCUGCAUGCAUUUAAACUUUGGUGGAGCUUCUACGAAAGGAGGGGAGUGGAGUGUUAUUACUUCUCACCUAGGCUGUAUUGGAUUUCCUUACUAUUCAUUUUAGA